GCCCAAGGCAGCCAGGCCAUGAGAUCUUAGGCCAUGUCAAGACGUGACGUGGUUCUUACCAAUGUUACUGUCGUCCAGCUACGGCGGGACCCAUGCCCAUGUCCAUGCCCAUGUCCAUGUCCAUGUCCAUGUCCCGUGAUCAGACCACCUCCACCUCCACCCAAGGUUGAGGAGCCUCCGCCACCCAAGGAGGAGCCGCCGCCACCGCCACCACCGCCUCCUCCACCCCAGAUAGAGCCAGAGGAGCCUAAAGAGGCUCCACCUCCACCUCCACCUCCUCCACCCCCUCCCCCUCCCCCUCCUCCACCACCCCCAAAGCCAGCUAAAGAGCUAACAGUGGGCAUCAAUGGAUUUGGACGCAUUGGUCGUCUGGUGCUACGAGUCUGCAUGGAGAAGGGCGUUCGGGUAGUAGCAGUGAAUGACCCAUUCAUUGAUCCAGAAUACAUGGUGUACAUGUUCAAAUAUGACUCCACACAUGGUAGAUACAAAGGAACGGUGGAACAUAAGAAUGGACGACUAGUUGUGGACAACCUUGAGAUCAACGUGUUCCAGUGGUAAGGAC
RNAcentral lists this long non-coding RNA (562 nucleotides) under Rattus norvegicus (Norway rat). RNAcentral's name for it is "long non-coding RNA NONRATT002524". Lineage: Eukaryota; Metazoa; Chordata; Mammalia; Rodentia; Muridae. The record is from RNAcentral.